This 1452-nucleotide ribosomal RNA is filed under the name uncultured bacterium. RNAcentral's name for it is "16S ribosomal RNA". It matches the Rfam family "Bacterial small subunit ribosomal RNA". The record is from RNAcentral.
GAUGAACGCUAGCGGCAGGCCUAACACAUGCAAGUCGAGGGGCAGCUUGAUGAAACUUUCGGGUUGAUUCGAAGGCGACCGGCGGACGGGUGCGUAACGCGUAUGCAACCUACCUUUAACAGGGGGAUAAUCGAGAGAAAUUUUGUCUAAUACCCCGUAAUAUAUAAAUUGGCAUCAAUUUAUAUUGAAAGAUUUUAUUGGUUAAAGAUGGGCAUGCGUAACAUUAGAUAGAUGGUGAGGUAACGGCUCACCAUGUCCACGAUGUUUAGGGGAACUGAGAGGUUAAUCCCCCACACUGGUACUGAGACACGGACCAGACUCCUACGGGAGGCAGCAGUGAGGAAUAUUGGUCAAUGGUCGGGAGACUGAACCAGCCAUGCCGCGUGCAGGAUGACGGCUCUAUGAGUUGUAAACUGCUUUUAUAAGGGAAUAAAAAGGAGUGUGUAUACUCUCUUGCAUGUACCUUAAGAAUAAGGAUCGGCUAACUCCGUGCCAGCAGCCGCGGUAAUACGGAGGAUCCGAGCGUUAUCCGGAUUUAUUGGGUUUAAAGGGUGCGUAGGUUGUAGUUUAAGUUAGUGGUCAAAUAUAGUGGCUUAACCAUUUAUCCGCCAUUAAUACUGAAUUACUAGAGUAUGUUUGCAGCAGGCGGAAUGUGUAGUGUAGCAGUGAAAUGCAUAGAUAUUACACAGAACACCAAUUGCGAAGGCAGCUUGCUAAACCAUUACUGACACUGAUGCACGAAAGCGUGGGUAGCGAACGGGAUUAGAUACCCCGGUAGUCCACGCAGUAAACGAUGAUAACUCGUUGCCGGCGAUAUACAGUCGGUGACCAAGCGAAAGCGAUAAGUUAUCCACCUGGGGAGUACGACCGCAAGGUUGAAACUCAAAGGAAUUGACGGGGGCCCGCACAAGCGGAGGAACAUGUGGUUUAAUUCGAUGAUACGCGAGGAACCUUACCCGGGCUUGAAAGUUAGUGACCGGUUCAGAGAUGGACUCUCCCUUCGGGGCACGAAACUAGGUGCUGCAUGGUUGUCGUCAGCUCGUGCCGUGAGGUGUCGGGUUAAGUCCCAUAACGAGCGCAACCCCUAUUGAUAGUUACCAGCAUGUAGUGGUGGGGACUCUAUCAAGACUGCCAGUGUAAGCUGUGAGGAAGGUGGGGAUGACGUCAAAUCAGCACGGCCCUUACGUCCGGGGCGACACACGUGUUACAAUGGUCGGUACAGAGGGCAGCUACCCAGUGAUGGGAUGCGAAUCUCUAAAGCCGAUCUCAGUUCGGAUUGGAGGCUGGAACUCGCCUCCAUGAAGUUGGAUUCGCUAGUAAUCGCAUAUCAGCCAUGAUGCGGUGAAUACGUUCCCGGGCCUUGUACACACCGCCCGUCAAGCCAUGGAAGUUGGGGGUGCCUGAAGUCCGUUACCGCAAGGAACGGCCUAGGGCAAAAUCAGUAACUAGGGC